UACGUAGGGCGCAAGCGUUGUCCGGAAUUAUUGGGCGUAAAGAGCUCGUAGGCGGUCUGUCGCGUCUGCCGUGAAAACCCGAGGCUUAACCUCGUGGCUUGCGGUGGAUACGGGCAGACUAGAGGUAGGUAGGGGAGAAUGGAAUUCCCGGUGUAGCGGUGAAAUGCGCAGAUAUCGGGAGGAACACCGGUGGCGAAGGCGGUUCUCUGGGCCUUACCUGACGCUGAGGAGCGAAAGCCAGGGGAGCAAACGGG
RNAcentral lists this ribosomal RNA (254 nucleotides) under uncultured bacterium. RNAcentral describes it as "partial 16S ribosomal RNA". It matches the Rfam family "Bacterial small subunit ribosomal RNA", at positions 524 to 776 of the family's 1533-position model. The record is from RNAcentral.